UGGGGAAUAUUGCACAAUGGGCGCAAGCCUGAUGCAGCCAUGCCGCGUGUAUGAAGAAGGCCUUCGGGUUGUAAAGUACUUUCAGUCGGGAGGAAGGUGUCAAGGUUAAUAACCUUGGCAAUUGACGUUACCGACAGAAGAAGCACCGGCUAACUCCGUGCCAGCAGCCGCGGUAAUACGGAGGGUGCAAGCGUUAAUCGGAAUUACUGGGCGUAAAGCGCACGCAGGCGGUUUGUUAAGUCAGAUGUGAAAUCCCCGGGCUCAACCUGGGAACUGCAUCUGAUACUGGCAAGCUUGAGUCUCGUAGAGGGGGGUAGAAUUCCAGGUGUAGCGGUGAAAUGCGUAGAGAUCUGAGGAAUACCGGUGGCGAAGGCGGCCCCCUGGACGAAGACUGACGCUCAGGUGCGAAAGCGUGGGGAGCAAACAGG
This 428-nucleotide ribosomal RNA is filed under the name Chloroflexota bacterium. RNAcentral describes it as "Chloroflexi bacterium partial 16S ribosomal RNA". It matches the Rfam family "Bacterial small subunit ribosomal RNA", at positions 355 to 776 of the family's 1533-position model. The record is from RNAcentral. Lineage: Bacteria; Bacillati; Chloroflexota.